GAUGAACGCUGGCGGCGUGCCUAAUACAUGCAAGUCGAGCGAACAGACGAGAGUGCUUGCACUCUCUGACGUUAGCGGCGGACGGGUGAGUAACACGUGGGUAACCUACCUAUAAGACUGGGAUAACUUCGGGAAACCGGAGCUAAUACCGGAUAAUAUUUAGCUUCGCAUGAAGCAAUAGUGAAAGACGGUUCUGCUGUCACUUAUAGAUGGACCCGCGGUGUAUUAGCUAGUUGGUGAGGUAACGGCUCACCAAGGCAACGAUACAUAGCCGACCCGAGAGGGUGAUCGGCCACACUGGGACUGAGACACGGCCCAGACUCCUACGGGAGGCAGCAGUAGGGAAUCUUCCGCAAUGGACGAAAGUCUGACGGAGCAAUGCCGCGUGAGUGAAGAAGGUUUUCGGAUCGUAAAACUCUGUUGUAAGGGAAGAACAAGUACGUUAGUAACUGAACGUACCUUGACGGUACCUUACCAGAAAGCCACGGCUAACUACGUG
This 499-nucleotide ribosomal RNA is filed under the name uncultured bacterium. RNAcentral describes it as "partial 16S ribosomal RNA". It matches the Rfam family "Bacterial small subunit ribosomal RNA", at positions 28 to 507 of the family's 1533-position model. The record is from RNAcentral.